GCACUCCAGCCUCCUUGCAAGCUUGGGGCGCCUCAUUCUCUCCCGUGCCCCUUCUCCCAGCUGGGUCUGAGCCCCCACCCCCCGGCUUCUCCAUUCUGCUUCUCCCAGCUUCUCUCUCCAUCUCCCCCGAUGGCCUCUCUGCCUCAGCUUCCAGGUCUCUGCUGGUCCCUAGGAAGCACUUUGACCUCUGCUUCCCCUUCAAAUGCUGUGGAUCAAGCCUCCCCAACCCCACCAUCCCACCAAAGGGGGCUGCUGACCGAGAGAGCUCACUCAGCCAGAGCCAGAUUCUUAUUCUGUCACCCAGGCUGGAGUGCGGUGGCAUGAUCAUAACUCACUUCAGCCUAGAACUCCUGACUCCUGGCUUCAAGCGAUCCUCCCACCUCAGCAUCCCAAGUAACUGGGACUACAGAGAGCCAGUUGUUAAACACUAGCCAACACCCCAUUGAUGCUGUUCCUUCUACCUGAAACACCUCACAUUGCCGGUGAGCUCUAGAGACAAAAGGACCUGGGUCUGCAUUUCCCAAAGGCAAGAAUCUGGUAUCACCUGCAUAUUAUUUUCCCAUAUUUGAGCACCACUGCUUGUUGCAUUAUUUACUUAGCAGUUUUGCUCCUGUCAACUCACUUUUUUAAAACUAAACUUAUUUUAAAAAGAAAAGUUUUGGCCAGGCGCGGUGACUCACGCCUGUAAUCCCAGCACUUUGGGAGGCCGAGCUGGGCAGAUCACCUGAGGUCGGGAGUUCGAGACCAGCCUGACCAACAUGGAGAAACUCUGUCUCUACUAAAAAUACAAAAUUAGCUGGGCGUGGUGGCGCAUGCCUGUAAUCCUAGCUACUUGGGAGGCUGUGGCAGGAGAAUUGCUUGAACCCAGGAGGCGGAGGUUGCGGUGAGUCGAGAUGGCACCAUUGUACUCCAGCCUGGGGAACAGAUGUGAAACUCUGUCUCAAAAAAAAGAAAGAAAAAGAAAAGAAAAGCUUUAUAUAAUUUUAAUACACAAAAAAACAGUAUCCCGGCCAGGCACAGUGGCUCAUGCCUGUAAUCCCAGCAAUUUGGGAGGCCAGGCAGGAGGAUCACUUGAGGCUAGGGGUUCAAGACCAGCCUGGCCAACAUGGUGAGACCCCCGUCUCUACUAAAAAUACAAAAAUUAGCCAGGCAUAGUGGCACGUGCCUGUAAUCCCAACUACUCGGGUGGCUGAGGAACGAAAAUCACCUGAAUCCAGGAGGUGGAGGUUGCUGUGAGCCGAGAUCGUGCCAAUGCACUUCAGCCUGGGUGACGGAGUGAGACUCUGUCUCAAAAAAAGAAAAAGAAAACGAGUAUCCCUUGCCAUAAGUAGCAAGCAAUCAUUCAAACAUGGAAAUGAGGCAUUCACACUUGUUCUUGUUUCACACUAAGGCCCUAAGCCUAAGGAGGGUUUCUCUAUGUUGAAAGGAAAUUAGGCAGUGUUCAGAGGGGUGUUAAAGAUAGACUAGCAACUAACCGAAACUUUCUCCUCAAUGUAAGUGCUUUAGAAGGGACUAAAAAGAGAAUGUUCUCCCUACGUGUACCGUAUCACCUACAAUUACCUCGUGUACCACUAUUUUCCAAAUAAAUGCCAGAGGCAAGAGUAAAUUUCGAUGCUUUAGCCUAGCACUCAAAGCCCUCCUCGAUUUGAAUCUUUCCAGCCUCAUCUUGCACAGGCCCUCCAUAUCCAGGCCUCACCCACUCUAUUUGCCAUCUCCAGAACAUACCCCUAACUGUGUCUCGCCUCUGUGCCUUUGUGCAAGCUGCUCCCUCUACCUGGAAACCUCCAUUUGUCAAGCUGCUGCUGUCUUCAAGAUCUUCCUGAUCAGAAUCUCCUGCUGUCCUCUUCUGCCACCCACAGCAACGUGAGCCUUCACUGGCUGGCCUUCCCUACUCACUGGAGCAGAGCUACCAGCGUCAGAAUGCCCUGGACCAGCGGUUAGAAACACAGAUUCCUGAGUCUACACUUGAAGAUUUUUUUCUUUCUUUUUUUUUUUCCAAUUUUUUUAAUUUUAGAGAUGGGGUCUCACCAUGUUGCCCAGGCUGGUCUCAAGUUCCUGGGCUCAGGUCAUCCUCCCACCUAGGCCUUCUAAAGUGUUAGGAUUACAGGCGUGAGCCCUGAACCUUGUAACAUGAACAUUUAUUAGUUAUAUCUGGAAAAAAAUAUAAAGUUAUUUUUAUUUGGGUGAUACCGCCUUCAAAAAAAAACAAAACAAAAAAAGAGGCUGAGCACAGUGGUUCAUGUCUGUAAUCCCAGCGUUUUGGGAGGCUGAGGCAGGCGGAUCACUUGAGGCCAGGAGUUCAAGAUCAGCCUGGCCAACAUAGUGAAACCCCACUUCUAUUAAAAAUACAAAAAUGGGCCAGGUGCGGUGGCUCAUACCUGUAAUCCCAGCACUUUGGGAGGCCGAGGUGAGUGACUCACGAGGUCAAGAGAUCAAGACCAUCCUGGUAAACAUGGAGAAACCCCAUCUCUACUAAAAAUACAAAAAUUAGCUGGGCAUGGUGGCACGUGCCUGUAGUCCCAGCUACUAGAGAAGCUGAGGCAGUGGAAUCGCUUGAACCCAGGAGGCAGAGGUUGCAGUGAGCUGAGAUUGUACCACUGCACUCCAGCCUGGGCGACAGAGUGAGACUCUGUCUCAAAAAAAAAAAAAAAAAUUAGCCGAGCGUGGUGGCACAUGCCUGUAAUCCCAACUACUCGGGAGGCUGAGGCAGAAGAAUUGCUUGAACCUGGGAGGCGGAGGUUUCAGUGAGCCAAGAUCGCACCACUGCACUCCAGCCUGGGCAACAGAGCAAGACUCCAUCUCACAAAAUAAAAAGCCAAAAAAAGCUCUCGACAGUUCUGUUCCCUGCCUGAGGUGUUUGUCUCAGGAUCCCGGCCUGGCUGUGGGCCACAGAUGGCAAAAACCAAGGUCUGUCUAUUACUGGGCAUCCAGGGUUUCAUAAUCUCUACAACCUACAUGCCUGGAACUCCACACAUUGCGCAUGCCCCAGAAAUGCUUGCCCAACGGACCCCAAUCCACAAUUUCUGAAUGCAUUUCUCAUGACUUGCUGAAGGUGUCUUGUCAGUCCAAUUAGAUUGUAAACUCCAGGAGUGCAGGGACAACGUUGACCUUCCUAUUACUCCCCUCACUCCUGCCCAGCUCUGGUCUGGGCACACAGUGACCCUCAAGGGUAGCACAAAGACUUGAGGCAAGAAAAACACCUGUAGAAGGAAAAGGCUGGAUCCCGGGAGCGCCUCUGUCUGCUUUGCUGCCACCCUCUUCUUCAACAGCAAAGGACACGCUAGUUCUAUGCAGCAAAAGUUUCCAAACACGUUAGCCUAAGAAUUUUGAGUCGUGCAAAAAAUAAAUAAAUUCCCAGAGUCACAGGGUUAAAAAAAAAAAAUCAGAUUCCAGGGCCCCACCCUUGUUGUUCCUGAGUCAGACUCCCCAAUCAAACUGCCAGAGAAUCUCUUCUUUGAACAAACACUUCAGGCAACUUUCCCAGGAUAAAGCAAGUUUCAGAAACUCUCACACAGCGUCUUGGGUAUCUCAGAUAUGGCUCUCGCCCUCCAGAUAUUUACAAAUGAAAACAAGAAAUCUGGUUCCAACAAGCAAAAGCCCAGAGAGACCUCAAAUACAAAGAUGCAAAUCAAAAUUAGUAGAGAAAUAAAUGAGCCGAGACGUUGUACUUCGGUCGCGGGGCUGACUGAGGUCACUGCCUGCACAGCCGACUGUUGGAAGUUCUGCGGUAUACCAGCUGAGUGGCCUUUAACAAGUCCCAUCUCCACUCUGAGCCUCUGUUUCCACAUCUGUAGAGUGAGGAUAUGUGGGCCUAACUCACAGGGUUGUUGUGAGAAUUCAACAAGAACACAUCAAGCAGCUGUGAAUAUAGCAAGCCGGCAUUUGAUUAAAUGUUAAUUUUCAUCCUAAGAAAAAUAGCUAAUAUUUCUGAGCACUUACUGCUGAGCCCUGGGCUAACAUUUACUUGUUCCUUUAACUCCCACAACAACCCAAUGAGGUAGAAUCUAUUAUUAUCCCCAUUUCACAGAUGAGGAAAUUAAGGCACAGAAAGGUUAAAAAAAAAAAACAUGCUCAGGCCAGGCGUGGUGGAUCACCCCUGUAAUCUCAGCACUUUGGGAGGUGGAGGCUGGAGGAUCGCUUGAGGCCAGGAGUUUGAGACCAGCCUGGGCAACAUAGCAAGACCCUGUCUCUAUAAAAAAAAAAUUUAAAGCUGAGUGCAGUGGCUCACGCCUGUAACCCCAACACUUUGAGAGGCUGAGGCAGGUGAACUCUUGAGCCCAGGAAUUCAAGACCAAACUGGGCAACACAGUGAGACCCUGUCUCUUAAUAAAAAAAAAAUCAGCUGGGUGUGGUGGUGCGUGCCUGUGAUCCCAACUACUCGGGAGGCUGAGGUGGGAGGAUCACUUGAGCCCAGGAGUUUGAGGUUGCAGUGAGCUAUGAUUGUACCAUUGCACUCCAGCCUGCACAAUAGAGAAAGGUCUGUCUUUAAAAAAAAAAAAGAAAGAAAAGAAAAAAGUACCCAACAUCUCCCAACCAGGAAAUGGCAGAGCUGGGAUUAGAGCCUAGAAAACCUAUCCUGUAGCCCCAGGAGGAAAUAGCCUCAUGGGAGCAAAACCACCAGGUGUUUAGGACUCAUGAAAAUUAUACAUUGGCUUCUUUGGGAAAAGUGGCCUAUUCAGCUGAGCAGGACCCAAAAUAGCAAAAGGGCCAAGGACAGCCCGCCUGCCCUAGGUGUGGCCCCAGCUGGGAUUCCUAGCCCUGCGAGUUUUCCCAGAUUGGCCAACACACAUCUGAACCCCUGGGAUCAGGAAGUGCCAAUGCCUGGGUCUUGCUAAAGCCAUUUACUGUUGACAGAUAUCCCACCGAUGGCCAAGUGCCAGCUAGUCACGGCCUCAGUGCAGGACCUCAUCCCUCCCAGAAAGCCAUGGCUCUGGACUCCACCCACUGAAAACAGGGCUUUUGUGGGAAUACAAUGGGACAACAAGAAAAACAUGCUGAACCUGGUCUCCAUGGGACCUGAUGUGCGAGUCACGUUCAUUCACAUCCCUGGCUUGCAGCCUCUCCACUCACAAGUUAUUGAUAAUUGAAAAAAUAAAACAACAUGCGAUCGUAUUUCUGGGCAGAUAGAAUACAAGAGCCUGGGGCACUGGUUGUUUCUGGGGAGGGGAAGGGAACCGAGAGACCCAAGAAGAGGGUGGACAAGCUAGGCACGGUGGCUCAUCCCUGUAAUCCCAGCACUUUGGGAGGCCAAGGCAGGCAGACACUUGAGGUCAGGAGUUCGAGAUCAGCCUGGCCAACAUGGUGAAACUCUCUCUCUACCAAAAACAUAAAAAUUAGCCAGGCAUGGUGGCAGGUGCCUAUAAUCGCAGCCACUCAGGAGUCUGAGGCAGGAGAAUCACUUGAACCUGGAGGCAGAGACUGCGGUAACCGGAGAUCGUGCCAUUGCGCUCCAACCUGGGCAACAGAGCGAAACUCCGUCUCAAAGAAAAAAAUAAAAAGGACUAUGAGUGGGAGCAGAUGUAGGGAGAUGCAAGGGACAGAGUGUCAGAGAGUGGGAGAAGCGUUGGGCUGGUAACUGUGAGGCGGCAAUGCCUUCCCGCACGUCCACCUGUUCUGGGCUCUCUGCUAAUCAAACCCAACCACCAGGCAGAGGCAUGGGAGACCCCCGCGCAUAGAGAGGGUGGAGACCGGAGAAGCGAUGGCAGAAGAGGCCAGACCACCACCCAAUAGAUGUGGGUAACUAUUCAAAACUCAGAUCAUCUGAACAGAAAAAGGUAAAUGCUGUGAGCUAAAAACUUCAAGGUUCUUUGCAUCAGUGCCUUUUUUUUUUUUUCCUGAAGUUAUUUCAAGUUGGAUUUCUACCACUUGCAACCCAAAAGAGUCUUGCCGAACAGAGACGGAAACAUGUAAGAUUUCAUUGAAGUGGAAACCUGGCAUUAUAAUUGCCCACUGCUUGUAAAAUUCAGGCCAGCGCGGUGGCUCACGCCUGUAAUCCCAACACUUCGGGAGGCCGAGGCGGGCAGAUCGCCUGAGCCCAGAAGUUUAAGACCAGCGUGGCAACAUUGCAAGUCCCUGUCUCCGUAAAAAAUUUUGGUUUAAAGCUAAGUGCAGUGGGUCACACCUGUAAUGCCAACUCUUCGGGAGUCUGAAGCAGGUUAAUUGCUUGAGCCCAGGAGGUCAAGACCAAACUGGGCAACAUAGUGAGAACCCAUCUCUAAAAAAAGAGAAGAAAAGAAAAUCAGCAGGGAGUGUUGGCACAUGCCAGUGGUGCCAGCUAUUCAGGAGGCCGAGGUGGAAGAAUCACUUGAACCCAGGAAGGUCAAGGCUGCAGCGAGCUGUGAUAGUACCACUGCACUCCAGCCUGGACAACAGAGCAAGACCCUGUCUCAAAAUAAGUAAAUAGGCUGGGCGAGGUGGCUCACGCCUGUAAUCCUAGCACUUUGGGAGGUCGAGGCGGGCAGAUCAUUUGGGGUAAGGAGUUCGAGACCAGUUUGGCCAACACAGUGAAACUCCGUCUCUAUUAAAAAUACAAAAAAAAUUAGCUGGGUGUGGUGGCACAUGCCUGUAAUCCCAGCUACUUGGGGAGGCUGAGGCAGGAGAAUCACUUGAACCCGGGAGACAGAGAUCGCGUCACUGCACUCCAGCCUGGUUGACAGUGCGAGACUCUCAAAAAAAAAAAAAAUUGGCCAGGCACAGUGGCUUACGCCUGUAAUCCUAGUACUUUG
Molecule: long non-coding RNA, 6725 nt
Organism: Pongo pygmaeus (Bornean orangutan)
Lineage: Eukaryota; Metazoa; Chordata; Mammalia; Primates; Hominidae
Exons: 3
Source: RefSeq, a predicted model, not a curated record